CCUUGAGCAUGAAAGAACAGUUCAUAAUACCACUUAAAAAGUCACCUGUGGUCGGCUUUUUGUUUUUACCUGGAAUUUUUCCUUUCUGUUGCCCACUGCAGUUUGAGAGAGAACCUGGAGUAGAGGCCAUUUGUCUUUAUCCCUUGGAGGCUUAAUGUUUACAUUUUUUAAACGUUCAUUUUUAUAGAUUCCAGGGGUACGUGUGCAGGUGUGUUAACAUGGACAUGCUGCAUAAUGGCUACUAGUGUACCCAUCACCUUAGUAGUGGACAUUAUAGUCAAUAGGUAAUUUUCCACCUUUCACCCUCCUACUACCCUCUCUCUUUUGGAGUCCCGGGAGUCUGUUCUUUCCCUCUAUAUGUCCAUGUGUACCCAUUGUUUAGCUUCCACUUACGAGUGAGAACGUGUGAUACUUGAUUUUCUGUUUCUGAAUUAUUUCACUUAGGGUGAUGGCCUCCAACUCCAUCCAUGUCACUGCGAAAGACAUGACUUCAUUAAGGCCUAGAUAUUUCUGAUCUGAUAUGCUCAAAGAAGUUCAGAAACAAAAUAAGUAUCUCCUCAGGACUCCUUUUCAGCCUGUAAAGAUCCUUCACUGGCUCUUUAGAAUUUCUCUCAUGACUCAGGAUUCUUCUGAGAAUUUAGGGAUAGGUGGAAGUGGCUUCUGAGUGAUGAGUGGGAGCAGAUUUUCAAGGUGGUUUAGGUCUAGAUUAGCCCAUCAAGUCUCCACUGCUCUGAGGGUGGUAUGUCAUCUUAAGUGUGAACCUUUAGGAUACAAAAAUGGUAGAAGAACCAUGAGACAAGUAUUAAGUUCACUGAUGUGGCAAUUCUUAUCUUCAUUUGCUUCUACAGUUAAGUCUUCACUGGACUUUUAAUUAAGAUUUUAAAUUUUUGAGGGUAUAGAGUUUCCAUAAAAAGUCAGUGAUAAUAAAUUUUAUUUGACUUUCUACUUAUUCUGGAUUCUAAAACAGAUGGACAUAUAAACAAUUUACUUAUGGAUCAGUUUGAGAGAGGAAACACUAUUCAGAAGAUUUAAAUCCCAGAAUUUAAUCCAUUGCUUUACUGCAAGUUUACAGAAGACACAUUUGUCUUCACUUUUAUCUGCAGUAGUUGAUAUAUUGACUUUACACGUGAAAACUUACACUAAUGUUGCUUACCGACCAAAAUUAUUCCUGGGAGGUAAAGAAACCUUCAGAUUUUCUACAGUAACCACUGAUGGGCCCCCUAGCAGCCAUUUUAAACAUAAAUUUGAUGAUGUUGCCCAAACAGCCCCAGUCCAGUUCAACUUUCAGAUCCUCAAGCCUACCAUAGUCCUUUGUGUUUGGUAUUGCUUUCCUAUCCUUAAAUGUGGUAGCUCCUUGAGCACAGGGACCUGUGUUUUGAUUCACUGUGUCUGCAUACUUCACUUCGCAGAACAUUUUCAAGGUCCAUCCAUGUUGUAGCAUGUAUCAGAACUACACUCCUUUUGUGGCUAAAUAUUCCAUUGCCUGCGUAUAGCAUAUUUAUCCAUUCAUUUUUCAGUGGACACUUGGGGUAUUUCCACCUUUUGGCUCUUGUGAAUAAUGUUGCAAUAAAUAUUGGCAUAUAAGUAUCUGUUCAAGUACAUGCCUUCAGUUAUUUAGAUGCCUAAAAGUAGAAUCGCUGGAUCAUACAGUAAUCGUGUUUUGCUCUUUGAGGAACUGCCAAACUGUUUUCCACAGUGGCUGUACCAUUUUACAUUCCCACCAGCAAUGUAUAAGGGUUCACCAGAGAACCCUCAGAACAGAACAGAUACUUCACCAGAGAAGAUCAAUGGCAAAAAAAUCAGAAAAGAAAAAAAUGGAAAUGCAAAUUAAAGUCACAGUGAGAUAUCAUUAGAUACCAAUUAGAAUGGCUAAAGUUUAAAUGGCUGAAAAUACCAAUUGUAUCCUUAGAACAAUAUCUGGCACAAAGUAAGGUGUAGGCAACCAGUAAGUAUUUGUUGAGUAAAUGGAUUCAUUUCUGUAAUUUGCUACCGUGCCCACCUACCUAUUAGCAUCUGCAGUGGCAUACUGGCCUUCCUGCCAGUUCUUCUAGAUAAACUCUCCAAGGCCAGACCUUCCACUUGUAUUCCUCUUCCAAACUCCAUCACCUUGUGCCUGCUAAGACAAGCAGUUCUCUCCUCUCCUGCAUCAUCAAUUUUCCCCUCUUCUGGGUCAUUCCCUUCAGUAACAAACAUACUAUAGUUACCAUCUCUGAUUCUCUCUUUCCUUUUACAAUUCGGGAGUUGUCUAAACCAUACACCUGUAACCAAAUGAUUUUUGACAAGGUUUCCAAGUUUGUUCAAUGAGGAAAGAAAAAUCUUUUCAACAGAUGAUGCUGGAAUAACUGGAUUUCCACAAGCAAAAAGAGUGAAUUCAGAGCCCUAACUCACACCAUAUACAAAUGUUUACUCCAAAUGGAUCAGUGAAGAAUGGAUCAGACUUUUAGAAGAAACAUAGGGGUGUACUUCAUGACCUUUAAUUUGCCAAAGGGUUCUUAAGACACCAAAAGCAUGAAUAACAAAAGAUAAAUUGGACUUCAUCAAAAUUAAAAUUAAAAAAUUUUUAUGCACAAAAUUAAAAAUAUUUGUGCAUCAAAGGACAUUAUCAAAAAAAGUAAGGCAACCUACAGAAUGGGAGAAAAUACUUGUAAAUUAUAUAUCUGAUAAGGGAUUAAUACCAGAAUAUAUAAAGAACUACAAUUUAACAAAAAGUCCAAUUAAAAAUGGGCAGAGCAUUACUAAUUUCUUUAAUGAAGAUACAUGAAUGGCUAACAUAUUUUGAAAAGAGACUCAGAAUCAUUAGCCAUCAGGGCAAUGGAAAUUAAAACCAUAAUGAGGUACCACUUCACACUUACUAGGAUGGCUCUACUCUUUUAAAAAGUGGAAAGUAAGUGUUGGCAAGGAUAGAAAUCAGAAACCAGAAUGCACUGCUGGUGGGAAUGUAAAAUGGUACAGCCACGUGGAGAACAGUUCAGCAGUCCCUCAGAGCUAAACAUAAAAUUACCAUAUGACCCCUCAUUUCUACUUUUAGAUGUAUAGUCAAAAGAAAGUAGGGACUUGAACAGAUACUUAUAUGCUCAUAUUAAUUGCAGCAUUAUUCACAAUAGCCAAAACUUGGAAACAACCCAGAUGUCCAUUGAAAAGUGAAUGGAUCAAGAAAAUGCAUCAUAUAUGGGACAGUGGCAUACUAUACAGCCAUAAAAGGAAUGGAGUUUUGAUACAUACAACAUGAUGAACCUUGCAGAUGUUAUGCUAAGUGAAAUAAAUAGACACAAAAGGACAAAUAUAUGUUCCACUUACGUGAAAUACCUUGAAUAGUAAGGGCUGGAAGCCAGGUUGAGGAUGUGUCGUGUCCUGGGGCUCGUUAACCACAGAUUGUCCUGCAGGCCAGGCAGCUGCUCAUUGGAUAUGGAAUGCAUUUUGGGUGACGGCAGAGCCCUCAGGAAUGGGAUUAAUGCCCUUAUUAAAGAGGACUGAGGGAGCUUGUUUGUCCCUUCCAUCAUCUGAGGACACAGCAAGGAAACAGAGGAUCACAGUGUCUAUGAAGCUGGAAAUGGGUCCUUGGCAGACACCCAAUGUGACAGUGCCUUGAUCUUGGACUUCUCAGCCUCCAGAACUGUGAGAAAUACAUUUCUGUUGUUUAUAGGCCACCCACUUCAUGGCAUUUUGUUAUAGCAGCCUGAAUGGCCCAAGACAGGUGUUUAGGUCAAGGUUUGAUUUUUUGGCUUUUGUUUAUUUUGCCUAUGGAUGUCCAGUUGCCCAAUCACCAUUUGAUGGACAGGCUGGCUUUCCUCUCAUGAACUGCUUUUGCAUGUUUUCAAACAUCAGUUGAGCAUAUUUGUUUGAGACUGUUCUGUCCCAUUGAUUAAUAAGUCUAUCCAUUUGCCGAUACCGUGUGGAAUUUAUUAGGUAUGUAGUAAGUGUUAAAGUAGAGAUGGCAUUCUUGUUUUUCAAAAUUGCUUUAGCUGUCCUAGUUCCCUUGCUGUCCAUAUACAUUUUUAUUACAAGAUAAACGUGCACUUCUUAUUAUUUCAAAGUAUAGUAGUAAGAAAACCUCAGAGUAGCUUCAUCACAAAUACUGAGCUGUCGUUACUGGGAAAUCCAAACAGUCCUGCAUCAGAACCUGUUUUCCUGAUUAACCCAAUAAUAAAAUAGAGCAAAGGCUGGCUUUCUUGCUAAACAGGUUUCACUUUCUUAUUAUCAUCCUAGUCUCUGUGGCUUGGUAACAAGAAACCUUAAUGUGUUCACAUUUAUCUCUUCAUAACAAAUGUCUAUGACAUAGUUUGGUGGGGAGGAAAUGAAAACGCAAGCACAGAAAUCAGGGCUUGGUGAGGUUCAAAAACUCCAAAAUUUUCAUUCUAACUAAAUGAGUUGGGUAUAUAUUUCCAUUAUCAAUGAAAGGGGAAGGGGUAUUUUAAAUGAAUCAUAUUGGAGAAAGAAUGAAUGGACACAGAUGCACUUAUGCUUGCCUAGUUGUUGGAAAUAAUAUUUUUGAAUACAAAGAAUUAGGAUAAUCAAAUCACCAUCUUCAUCACUUUAAUUUUCUUAAUUUUAAACAUGAUGGCAGCCUCAUCACUGUCCUCUAAUUUGAAAUUUGUUAAGCAUGAGCAUGUGCUUAAAGUGCUGGUAUCUUUCACUUGAAAUGUGUAAAAUUAUAACUGGGACGAGGAGGUCUUUAGAAAAUACUGUAAGACUGUUAGAUAUUUUGUAGGAAUGUGAGAUUAAAUUCUCUAACCCAGAUUUUGAGUUAAAGAAAAAAAAUCCUCAUUUCUUACUGAAGAAUUUAAAACUAGUUUAUGUAUUUACAUAUAUAUAUAUUUUUAAAUUACCUACACUGUGAAAAGGUACCUUUAAACUAGUAGUUAGGCAUUGUUUUAUGGACAUAAAACAAGCAAAACUGAGUACGUUGAAUGAAAAUUUAGAAAUAAACCAUCCCAUUCCUGAGGAAUAUGAAUUACUAAAGUUUUAGUCUGAAAUGACUAGAUGAUAUAAUGAUAUAUAGCUUGAGAACUGAUAAUAGCAAGUAAAUGAAAGUCAAUUUAUUCAGAGAAUUGAAUGGGAAACUAAUAUCAUUUAAGCCUUUUCUAUAAAAAACCAUCAGCUUUAUGAAUCACAAAAUUAAAGAAUAAAUAAUACUAAGAUAAAAGUUUCCCCAUUAUAUUACAGAGAAAACCAUGUUCUGAGCUAUGGACUUUUAUACCUGGAUGUCUACUCUGAGGCCAUCAAAAGAACUCACUCAUAGAUCAGUGUGCCUCAUUUCAUGGUCUGCCUUGGAUUCCCACAUGCCCACUGAUCCAAAGUCUGUGGAAUAAGGAGGCAUCUUUCAGCAAAGAAGGCAGACAUGAAAGUGUACAUUGUGAUCUAAUUGUUACGAAGUUGAAGAACUGGCCAAACUGAUGUAUGUUGACAGGAAUCAAAACGGGGGCCACCUGUGGAGGGUGGACAGUGUUAUCUGAAAAGUUGCAGGGGAGAUUAUCUGUGUUAAUGGACAUGAGCCAUACAUUGAGAGGGCUGCUGGCUACUGAAAGGAAUAUAAAAUUUUAAAAAUUUGUGAAAUCAUGCAGUUAACAUCUGCAUACUUCACUAUAUUUUAAGUUUUUAUUAAUAUAAAAGAAUAAGAAAACAGAAUAGUAUUCCUGUUAAUAAUAGAGAAAAGUAUGUUUUAUUUACAAAUUUCUCCCUCUAGCCAAUCAUACAAUUGACCAAUUCAGGGUGCCCGCUGCUGGUUGGAUGCCAGGCGGAAUGUCAGGGUGUUCUCUGGUGUCUGUUGUGGCUGUGGGAUCCGCAGUUACUGGGUGGAGCCCUAUAGUGGCUGUGGUGCCAUGGAGGGGCUGCGAUCUUCUGUGGAGCUGGACCCUGCGCUGACUCCUGGGAAGCUGGAUGAGGAGAUGGUGGGGCUGCACCCUAUGACCCGAGUCCUCAAAUCACUUUCCACAGCCUCGAUGGGAAGACAGUGGUGUGUCCACACCUCACGGGCUUACUGCUGAGUCUCUUACUUUUAUUGACUUGUCUCUUAGGAACUGACUGUGUAAGAGGUGAAAGGCAACUUGCAGAAACACUGCAUUCACAGGUGAAGGAGGAAUUGCCAGCUCACUGACAAGAAAACAGAUUGUAGAGACUGAGGCAUCUUUAAAAGAUGUCAGAGUACAGAAAAAGUCUUUCAACACCCCCGGCUUUGUAGAUGCUUACAAGAAGGUGAAUAGCACCAAUGCGAUGCUGAUGGAGAAAUUCACGUCCCUGAUUUAAGAACUGAAAGAAGAGAGAUCCAGACUCUCCAGGCAACAAGAGGAGCUGGUAGAGAUGCUAACAACACUGGAGGCCCUGGGAGAGGCCAUGAGAGUCACCCAGUCACAAGGAGCUUUUCCACACCUGCCAGGCAGCUGAGAGCCAAGCCCUGCUGCUCCCUCCCCCACGAGGGGGCUGGGUCUUAGAGCAGCACUGUUCUCUGCCCUCCACUCAGGCCUCCCGAGCUGCCAGGCUCUGUUCCCACACUGACUCCAUCUGAGCAGUCCUUGAGGUCACUGGAUCCGGGGUACCCCGCCCCUGGCCUGGAGUUCCUCCUCCUUCUCGCUGUAACACCGCAGCCAGCUCCUCAAUGGGCGGUGCCUCCAAAUCUAAAGAAUACGGAGGUCCUGAAGCACACCAAGAAAUGGGGGACUUUCUCUUCACAGAAAGUUUGAAUUCUGUCUCAAUGAGACAGAAUGCCAUACUUGAGCACCUCAUCUUUUGCUCAAAUUGAAAUGUCAUCAAACUAUUUCUGAAGUCAAUGAUCUGUAAAUAUGAUUUAUGUAUUAAUCUCCUAAGUAAACAAUUUAUAUUUUACCAUCUACAUAAUUAUUGUAUUAUGUUUUAAAAAUAUAUUUAGUUUAUCAAUAAAGACAUUCAGUACUCAA
This is a long non-coding RNA of Rhinopithecus roxellana (golden snub-nosed monkey), 6890 nucleotides long. RefSeq lists it as uncharacterized. The transcript is spliced from 2 exons. The record is from RefSeq and is a predicted model, not a curated record. Lineage: Eukaryota; Metazoa; Chordata; Mammalia; Primates; Cercopithecidae.